GACAGAGGAUGCAAACGUUGCUCGGAUUUACUGGGCGUAAAGCGCGCGCAGGCGGUCCCGUAAGUCGGACGUGAAAGCCCAGGGCUCAACUCUGGAAGUGCGUCUGAUACUGCGAGACUGGAGUACUGGAGAGGAGAGCGGAAUUCCCGGUGUAGAGGUGAAAUUCGUAGAUAUUCGCAAGAACACCAGUGGCGAAGGCGGCUCACUGGCCCGGUACUGACGCUGAGGUGCGAAAGCGUGGGGAGCAAACAGG
RNAcentral lists this ribosomal RNA (253 nucleotides) under uncultured bacterium. RNAcentral's name for it is "partial 16S ribosomal RNA". It matches the Rfam family "Bacterial small subunit ribosomal RNA", at positions 524 to 776 of the family's 1533-position model. The record is from RNAcentral.